This 74-nucleotide transfer RNA is filed under the name Sphaerisporangium rubeum. It matches the Rfam family "tRNA". From Rfam's summary of the family: Transfer RNA (tRNA) molecules are approximately 80 nucleotides in length. Their secondary structure includes four short double-helical elements and three loops (D, anti-codon, and T loops). The record is from Rfam by way of RNAcentral. Lineage: Bacteria; Bacillati; Actinomycetota; Actinomycetes; Streptosporangiales; Streptosporangiaceae.
GCGCCCUUAGCUCAGCCGGACAGAGCACCGGACUUCUAAUCCGACGGUCGCAGGUUCGAAUCCUGCAGGGCGCG